Molecule: transfer RNA, 84 nt
Filed under: Opitutaceae bacterium
Lineage: Bacteria; Pseudomonadati; Verrucomicrobiota; Opitutia; Opitutales; Opitutaceae
Description: tRNA-Leu
Source: RNAcentral
GCCAGCGUGGCUCACUGGGAAUCUAGCAAUCUGGCUCCACUUAAAAUGGAUGAACCUUAGGGAGUGCAAGUCUCCCCGCCGGCA